This 492-nucleotide ribosomal RNA is filed under the name uncultured bacterium. RNAcentral describes it as "partial 16S ribosomal RNA". It matches the Rfam family "Bacterial small subunit ribosomal RNA", at positions 30 to 507 of the family's 1533-position model. The record is from RNAcentral.
AUUGAACGCUGGCGGCAUGCUUUACACAUGCAAGUCGAACGGUAACAGGCCUUCGGGUGCUGACGAGUGGCGAACGGGUGAGUAAUGCAUCGGAACGUGCCCAGAGGUGGGGGAUAACGCAGCGAAAGCUGUGCUAAUACCGCAUGUGAUCUGAGGAUGAAAGCGGGGGACCAAGCAGCAAUGUUUGGCCUCGCGCCUCUGGAGCGGCCGAUGUCAGAUUAGGUAGUUGGUGGGGUAAAGGCCUACCAAGCCGACGAUCUAUAGCUGGUCUGAGAGGACGACCAGCCACACUGGGACUGAGACACGGCCCAGACUCCUACGGGAGGCAGCGGUGGGGAAUUUUGGACAAUGGGCGCAAGCCUGAUCCAGCAAUGCCGCGUGCGGGAAGAAGGCCUUCGGGUUGUAAACCGCUUUUGUACGGAGCGAAAAGGCUCUGGCUAAUACCUGGGGCUGAUGACGGUACCGUAAGAAUAAGCACCGGCUAACUACGUG